Molecule: long non-coding RNA, 607 nt
Organism: Galleria mellonella (greater wax moth)
Lineage: Eukaryota; Metazoa; Arthropoda; Insecta; Lepidoptera; Pyralidae
Exons: 3
Source: RefSeq, a predicted model, not a curated record
AUAAAAGAAUUUCUAAUUGUAAAAUUUUACAAAAUUAAAUUCUCAGAGAAAUGUUUGCAAAAAAGUGAAAUAGACUUGGUGAAAAUUGGGAAUUUCAUUUUUUUAAAUUUUGGUGUUUGUCAACGUUGCACUGGUAUAAAUAUAAUAAACUAUACCAAUGAAGGUAGUAAAGAAGAAGUAAUUGCUACGCUUGGCAGGCGAGUUGACAACCGCAGUUAGGCUUUGGUGUCGUUUUAAGAAGGACGCCGCUGCCUAUCCCUAAGUACCUUUAAUCGCCUCUAACGACACCCACGGAAUAGAAUGGAGUAGUCCAUUCUAUGUCGGAACCACACGACGUGAUGGAUAGAUUGACGACAUGGUAAUAACGAAUAAAAGCAUAAAAAACAUAUUACAAGACAUAAAAGGAGAGAAAGAGAUCAAGGAAUAAUCACGUGAACAAAAGGGAAAACGUUGUUUUUAUAUCGUAUACAUUUAGUAUUUGUGAUCUAGACUAGACAGAUUUGUGGUUUGGUCCUAUACAAAAAUAAUCAAUGUGGGUACUUCUGCCACACUUGUGUUUGUGCUUCAAAUCACUGUUGAUUUUUUUUAUGCGAGAAAUAAAAUUUUU